GACGAACGCUGGCGGCGUGCCUAACACAUGCAAGUCGAGCGAUGAAAUCCUUCGGGAUGGAUUAGCGGCGGACGGGUGAGUAACACGUGGGUAACCUGCCUCAAAGAGGGGAAUAGCCUUUCGAAAGGAAGAUUAAUACCGCAUAAGAUUGUACUGCCACAUGGCAGAGCAAGAAAAGGAGCAAUCCGCUUUGAGAUGGACCCGCGGCGCAUUAGCUAGUUGGUGAGGUAACGGCUCACCAAGGCCACGAUGCGUAGCCGACCUGAGAGGGUGAUCGGCCACAUUGGAACUGAGACACGGUCCAGACUCCUACGGGAGGCUG
This 322-nucleotide ribosomal RNA is filed under the name uncultured Bacillota bacterium. RNAcentral describes it as "bacterial SSU rRNA". It matches the Rfam family "Bacterial small subunit ribosomal RNA", at positions 28 to 351 of the family's 1533-position model. Lineage: Bacteria; Bacillati; Bacillota. The record is from RNAcentral.